RNAcentral lists this ribosomal RNA (401 nucleotides) under Citrobacter portucalensis. Its description in RNAcentral is "bacterial SSU rRNA". It matches the Rfam family "Bacterial small subunit ribosomal RNA", at positions 1050 to 1452 of the family's 1533-position model. Lineage: Bacteria; Pseudomonadati; Pseudomonadota; Gammaproteobacteria; Enterobacterales; Enterobacteriaceae. The record is from RNAcentral.
UUUCGUCAGCUCGUUUUUGAAAUUUGGGGUAAAUUCCGGCACGGGGGCAACCCCUUUUCUUUUGUGCCCGGCGGUUAGGCCGGGAACUCAAAGGAGACUGCCGGUGAUAAACCGGAGGAAGGUGGGGAUGACGUCAAGUCAUCAUGGCCCUUACGAGUAGGGCUACACACGUGCUACAAUGGCGUAUACAAAGGGAAGCAACCUCGCGAGAGCAAGCGAACCUCAUAAAGUAUGUCGUAGUCCGGAUUGGAGUCUGCAACUCGACUCCAUGAAGUCGGAAUCGCUAGUAAUCGUGGAUCAGAAUGCCACGGUGAAUACGUUCCCGGGCCUUGUACACACCGCCCGUCACACCAUGGGAGUGGGUUGCAAAAGAAGUAGUUAGCUUAACCUUUCGGGAGGUG